GGAGGGCCAGAUCCUCAGCUGAUGUAAAUUAGGAGAGCUCUGUCAAUGUUAAACGCUUUCCUGAUUUACUCCAGCUGAAGAUUUGACCUGGG
This 92-nucleotide microRNA precursor is filed under the name Columba livia (rock pigeon). Its description in RNAcentral is "microRNA cli-mir-1756b precursor". The record is from miRBase by way of RNAcentral. Lineage: Eukaryota; Metazoa; Chordata; Aves; Columbiformes; Columbidae.